RNAcentral lists this ribosomal RNA (468 nucleotides) under uncultured bacterium. Its description in RNAcentral is "partial 16S ribosomal RNA". It matches the Rfam family "Bacterial small subunit ribosomal RNA", at positions 28 to 507 of the family's 1533-position model. The record is from RNAcentral.
GACGAACGCUGGCGGCGUGCUUAACACAUGCAAGUCGAACGGAAAGGCCCUGCUUUUGUGGGGUGCUCGAGUGGCGAACGGGUGAGUAACACGUGAGUAACCUGCCCUUGACUUUGGGAUAACUUCAGGAAACUGGGGCUAAUACCGGAUAGGAGCUCCUGCUGCAUGGUGGGGGUUGGAAAGUUUCGGCGGUUGGGGAUGGACUCGCGGCUGAUCAGCUUGUUGGUGGGGUAGUGGCUUACCAAGGCUUUGACGGGUAGCCGGCCUGAGAGGGUGACCGGCCACCUUGGGACUGAGAUACGGCCCAGACUCCUACGGGAGGCAGCAGUGGGGAAUAUUGCACAAUGGGCGGAAGCCUGAUGCAGCAACGCCGCGUGCGGGAUGACGGCCUUCGGGUUGUAAACCGCUUUCGCCUGUGACGAAGCGUGAGUGACGGUAAUGGGUAAAGAAGCACCGGCUAACUACGUG